RNAcentral lists this unclassified non-coding RNA (752 nucleotides) under Hevea brasiliensis (rubber tree). Lineage: Eukaryota; Viridiplantae; Streptophyta; Magnoliopsida; Malpighiales; Euphorbiaceae. The record is from RNAcentral.
GCAAAAUUCAUCAUAUUUACAAAUAAAACUUCCAACACACUUCACUGACUGAGAUAUUGAUUGGAGAAGCUAAAAUAAUACACUUCUACUUGAUGUUCAAUAAAAUACAUAUAUCGCGACAUGGAUCCUCAACCCUAGGAAGAGAAACCAAAAUCAGUAGAUAUGUGUUUAUCAUGAAUGUCUUGCUUCUCAGCUCUACACAAGACUCUUGCUUUACCCGAGCAUCCACGUACCAAAAAUCCAAUUUCACAAGGUGUUAUCGCCAAUGUGUGUGUGUGUACCUGGAAAAAUAGUUGCAUUUCAAAGUGAGUGAAAAAGUCUCACAAGCUUUCUUGCAACUGGUUGAGCAGUAUGUCAGAUCCUUCAUCGUUAUCAGAUGUAUCCUUCUCUAUUUCUCGCUCACUACUGGUAAAUGAACCAUUUGAUAAUGGAAUAUAUGACAUGUACUUUUCAUCGUCAAGACACCCAACUUGCUUCAACACCUCCAACAGGACUUCUUUAUUUUGUAUAUCGUCUUCCUGCUCACAAAGCCUGAGAAUGGAAGAUACAGUUGCAGGUUUCGGUCUCCAGCUCUUUGAUCCCUCACUUGAAACAGCAUCCUUCAAGCAUGACAAAGCCUCUGAUAUCCUCCGAUCCCUGAUAUGGCCUUCGGCAAGGAUCUCGCAGGUCAUUGAGUUUGGCUUUCCACCAGCUCCAAUCAUUUGGUCAAAGAAAGCACUAGCCUUGUCCACGAAACCCUUCCUCACGUAAUA